CACAAUCGUUGAGAUUACUAAGGCGUCAUCAUGUGGAAGUGAUACACCUUCUAAGUCCCCGGUCCCAAGAGUAAUAUCCUCCAGCUUUUCAUGAGGCAUCCCAGAGGCCAAGGCAUAUUGUCGGGCAUAUUGUUUUCUUCCAUUGUUGGAGUCUCCUCCCAAGACAAUAUCCCCAAUGAUGAUAUUGAUGGUUCCAGCAGUGGGUUGACCAUCCCUUUUUGCCUCAGGGGCUUUUUCCCUGCCACGAUCAUUCCUCGGGCGUUUGUCGUUACCGACGUAGGAACUCAAGAGUCUCCUUUUAAUAAGGGCUUCAAUCUCCCGUUGCAGGGCCUUACAGUUCUCCGUGGUAUGCCCAUGAUCCCGAUGGAACUCACAGUACUUGUUCAUGUCCCUGGAUUCGGGUGGUGACCUCAUUCUGACAGGCCAUUUGAGUUCCUUCAUAUCCUUGAUCUCCAUCAAUAUAUUGGUCUUUGACGUAUUUAAAUGCGUGAAUGACGUCGGGGGAACCUCCUGUCUCUAUUUUUUCCGAUGUUGUUCUUCACGGGGGUUCGGGUCGUGCUGUCGUUUAUGCUCGACCCUGUCAUGGGGUAAUCCAACCUUUCUCGGGUUCAGUGUUUCCUCCAUAUUUAUGCACUUCUCGGCUCGGGUAAGAAGCUCGGUCACUGUCUUUGGCGGAGUUUUGGAUAAAGACAUCUUGAAAGCCUCGCACUUUAUGGCAUAUGUGAGGGCAGAAACUGCUGUAGUUAUGUGUAGGUCGGGAAUCUGAAGUCUUUCCUUGUUGAACCUGGUCAUGAAGUCACGUAGGGUCUCAUUUUGCCCUUGUCUAAGUUGCAUGAGGGAAGCCGCUGUCUUCCUGAUGCGUUUACUGCUUGUAAAGAAAGCAGAGAACUUGUCCACCGAAUUCGAGAAUGAGGCUAUGGAGUUGGGCUCUAAGGUUGAGAACCAAUCCCUAGCAGCAUUCGUCAAAGUUUGCGGGAAGGUCUUGCACAUCACCUGAUAUGGUGAUACCUGUAGAUUCAUGACGUCCGUUUAUACGUUAAGAUGAUUGAUUGGAUCGGUGGUCCCAUCAUAUUCUUUGAUCCUGGGAUACUUAAAUCUGUCUGGCAAGGAGAAUGUCAAUAUCUCAGGAGUAAAGGGAGUGUUGGGACUGAAUCUUGUCGUCCCUUUGUUGCCCUAAAGUAGGCCCGCCGUAAUUCCUUCUUGAAUAAUCC
This 1211-nucleotide long non-coding RNA is filed under the name Olea europaea subsp. europaea. The record is from RNAcentral. Lineage: Eukaryota; Viridiplantae; Streptophyta; Magnoliopsida; Lamiales; Oleaceae.